RNAcentral lists this ribosomal RNA (253 nucleotides) under uncultured bacterium. RNAcentral's name for it is "partial 16S ribosomal RNA". It matches the Rfam family "Bacterial small subunit ribosomal RNA", at positions 524 to 776 of the family's 1533-position model. The record is from RNAcentral.
UACGAAGGGGGCUAGCGUUGUUCGGAAUCACUGGGCGUAAAGCGCACGUAGGCGGCUUUGUAAGUCAGGGGUGAAAUCCCGGGGCUCAACCUCGGAACUGCCUUUGAUACUGCAAAUCUCGAGUCCGGAAGAGGUGAGUGGAAUUCCUAGUGUAGAGGUGAAAUUCGUAGAUAUUAGGAAGAACACCAGUGGCGAAGGCGGCUCACUGGUCCGGUACUGACGCUGAGGUGCGAAAGCGUGGGGAGCAAACAGG